CACAUGUUUGGACGUGCAGGCACGACACAUGCAAGGGUGGACAAAUCUGCCUUUGUGACGGGACACGCAGCAAGUGGUCAGAACUGAUGAGAAGAUAAGUGGAUGGGAAGAAAUGGAGCAAAAGACAAUCCUGGAAGAAGACCUGUUACAGGCAGUAAAAGUGCUGAAGCCGGGGUAGAGGUUUCCCUUCCAGCAGGACAAGGACUCUAAACACACAGCCAGAGCUCCACAGAUACUCCUCAUUUAAUAUCAAGUCUUUGCUAUCAACUACAAAGAGGAAUGGGAAAGUAUUUUGCUUCUAGACUUGCAAAGGUGCCAGAAAUUAACCCCUCAAAAACUACUUUGUGUUGGCAUAGAAUCCUAAUAAAAUGUUUGGAAAUUUGUGGCUGUAACGUGACAAAAUGUGAAAAAGUUCAAGUGGGCAUGAAUAGUUUUGCCAGGCACCGUAGUUUCUUGUAGUCAAAAAGAGUUCAAUGUUGCACAUAAUUUAUUUUGAAAACAAGUUGCACCUGUUGAUGUCCACAUAUAUAUUGAAGUAUGCUUUUUAUUUUAUUUUUAUAGUGUCCUAUAAUGGUGAAUGAGAGAAACCUCUUCACUCACGGUUAUCAGAGUGCCAUACUACAUUUGAAAGAAUAAAAUGACAAUUUCUGUCUUA
This is a long non-coding RNA of Fundulus heteroclitus (mummichog), 655 nucleotides long. RefSeq lists it as uncharacterized. The transcript has 2 exons. Lineage: Eukaryota; Metazoa; Chordata; Actinopteri; Cyprinodontiformes; Fundulidae. The record is from RefSeq and is a predicted model, not a curated record.